This is a long non-coding RNA of Cavia porcellus (domestic guinea pig), 2069 nucleotides long. RefSeq lists it as uncharacterized. NCBI's taxonomy places the organism in Eukaryota, Metazoa, Chordata, Mammalia, Rodentia, Caviidae. The transcript is spliced from 3 exons. The record is from RefSeq and is a predicted model, not a curated record.
UGUGGUCAAAGAAAAGAUCAAGGCAGAAGAAAUGCAAGCUUUCCUAUACAAGGCAAAAUCAAUCUCAAGAAGGUAAAAGUUGAAUUUAUUCAACAAUAUAAAAUGCAAUUUAAUGAUAAGGAAAGGAUUUAAAUUUCUUAAGAAUGCUGUAAUCUGUCAAAUAUGUUUCGUUGCUUAAAAGCUAGUAGUCCAGCAAAGAUUGUUAACUUUGAAUUGCCUAUUACAACAAAUCAAAAACAAAUGCUACUGAAAUAAUCUAAACAAGCACAAAUCCUGGGUCCAGUGUUAGGUCAGGAAGGUCUCCCCAUGGGGCCCUCCUGCGUCCCCACCCUCUCCGCCAUCCAGAGGGCUGGGCUCAGCGCCGUUUGGCAAAGCCCUGCAGAAGUCUUUCAACCGCUUUGUUACAAUCUCUCCUGUCUCCGCGGCCCUGCCUGCUGGCCACGGUGCCCUGCCCAGCCGCACUGGCCCAGGCCCAAGCCGGCCAGCGGAGUCGGGACAACUUUCCAAGCAGGCGGCGCAUGCGGAGCCGGGCGCGGAGCGUGGGCAACCUCGCGCACCGUCCACUGAGGCGGGCAAGUGACCGCCACCACGUUCCGACCCUCCGAGACGCCAUGAGAGAGACAGGCUAUGGUCGGGACUAAACGCGCCACCCGCCGGGCCCUUAGGACACCGCGGCGAACGGCCCGCUGCCGCCUUCCUGCUCAUGGACCUUGCUCGGCGGCGGGAAGGCGAAAGGAAGACACGGGGGCACAGAGCCAAGCCCAGGAUAGGAAGACUCUGAGAAUGCUCAAGUCUUUAUGUUUCUUGGACAUCAUGAAGACAACAACAUCCCUGCAGAGCUUCUGAAAACCUUGCAUCUCUGUCUACCGUCCUCUUCCACAGCCCUCCUGGCUGCAGUAUUUGGAACAUUUCCAAUGCCUUGAUUGUCUCUUUUUCCUGCUGCCUUUCUGGUCCUGUCUCCCACUGUACUCUGCACUAGGUGCACAUUCCAGGCUGGUGACAGGAAAAUCAGUUUGCUGGAAGAGAGAUGAAGACGGCAAGGCAGGUGUUUGAAACAGUGGUGCCCUAGCCAACAAGUUACCAUGCGUGUGCAUUGUAGCUUCUGUGGAAUUAAAGGAAGAUUACAGAUGAAUUUGGGGGAAAAUUCAACAUUUAAAGGGCAGACAAAAGGAGAGAACUCCACAGAAGAGAUGCAGGAAAAAACAUAGAAGAAGCAUCUUCCUGGAAUUAAAGAGAUUGUAAGAGAUGCCACCUCAUGGAUGUGUACCCAUGGGGCAAACCUGUGCUGUGACUUAUGUGGACACCCAGAACUGUUACUCUAGUGCCUGUCAGAAGCCUAAAGACCCACAUCUUGCUGAUCAUAACACCAUGCCUCACAAGAAUCUGUGAUGUGUUGGUUUCCUUGGUAACAGCAUUCUAGAACUUGGAAAGGGGCAACAGGUGAAGGAGCUACAAAUCAGAAGCACUGCCCUUCCUAGGAAAUGGACCUAGGAGAAGCUACCCAUGGCCUUGAGCCACAUAAGAAUGGUAAGAUCCAGAGCAAAACCAGCACGAAGCCUGAGGCCUGGAUGCAGCACCUGGGGCUGAACCAGUGGAUCAACUGGUAACGUGCUCCCUGGGACAACUUCGCAAUUACCUUGUAAGAUGAGGAUGACACCUCCAGUGAGGAGGGUUUGGUGGAACAACAUGUGCAAAAAACUGGAAAGAAGCAGGUGCUUAAUGCAAAAUGGUCCUAGUUUCCUCAUCUUCCCCUCCACCCCUCUUACCAGGAUGAUAAUAGCUAUUAACUAAUGAGAGGCACAUACAUUUUUUAAUCCCUCAAAAGUUCAUUUUCAAGAAAAAAAAAAGUUCAUUUUCUUGAGUUGGAGCGAGUGAUAAAAAAGAAGUGUGCCAGAGGAAAUCCGCUGUGCUUCCUGCUGGGCAAGCUCAUUUGGUCUCAUAUUCCCCUGCAGGAUCCUAGUGUGCUCAGUGCUGCAUACGGAGAGGGGGGGGUGUUGGGAGGAUUGAGUGCCUACUUUCCUUCCCCAUUAUUCUUGUAGGUUAUCUCCACCUCAUUUGUAAUUACUGCA